Molecule: ribosomal RNA, 253 nt
Filed under: uncultured bacterium
Lineage: Bacteria
Description: partial 16S ribosomal RNA
Rfam family: Bacterial small subunit ribosomal RNA
Source: RNAcentral
UACGUAGGGUGCAGGCGUUAAUCGGAAUUACUGGGCGUAAAGCGUGCGCAGGCGGCUCCUUAAGUCAGAUGUGAAAGCCCCGGGCUUAACCUGGGAACUGCGUUUGAAACUGGGGGGCUAGAGUGUGGAAGAGGGGGGUGGAACUCCAGGUGUAGCAGUGAAAUGCGUAGAGAUCUGGAGGAACACCGAUGGCGAAGGCAGCCCCCUGGGCUAACACUGACGCUCAUGCACGAAAGCGUGGGGAGCAAACAGG